RNAcentral lists this ribosomal RNA (500 nucleotides) under uncultured bacterium. RNAcentral describes it as "partial 16S ribosomal RNA". It matches the Rfam family "Bacterial small subunit ribosomal RNA", at positions 29 to 523 of the family's 1533-position model. The record is from RNAcentral.
AUUGAACGCUGGCGGAAUGCUUUACACAUGCAAGUCGAACGGCAGCACGGACUUCGGUCUGGUGGCGAGUGGCGAACGGGUGAGUAAUACAUCGGAACGUGCCCAGUCGUGGGGGAUAACGUAGCGAAAGCUACGCUAAUACCGCAUACGAUCUAAGGAUGAAAGCGGGGGAUCGCAAGACCUCGCGCGAUUGGAGCGGCCGAUGGCAGAUUAGGUAGUUGGUGGGGUAAAGGCCUACCAAGCCGACGAUCUGGAGCUGGUCUGAGAGGACGACCAGCCACACUGGAACUGAGGCACGGCCCAGACGCCUACGGGAGGCAGCAGUGGGGAAUUUUGGACAAUGGGCGCAAGCCUGAUCCAGCCAUUCCGCGUGCAGGAUGAAGGCCCUCGGGUUGUAAACUGCUUUUGUACGGAACGAAAAGGCUCUGGUUAAUACCCGGGGCUCAUGACGGUACCGUAAGAAUAAGCACCGGCUAACUACGUGCCAGCCGCCGCAGUAA